AACUCGAGACUCACGUUCGCGACGGCAGC
RNAcentral lists this small RNA (29 nucleotides) under Bombyx mori (domestic silkworm). RNAcentral describes it as "ovarian small RNA-2454". The record is from RNAcentral. Lineage: Eukaryota; Metazoa; Arthropoda; Insecta; Lepidoptera; Bombycidae.